ACUCGGGUAGCUCAGCUGGUACGAGCGCCGCCGUGACAAGGCGGAGGUCAGCGGUUCGAAACCGCUCCCGAGUACCA
RNAcentral lists this transfer RNA (77 nucleotides) under Achromobacter anxifer. RNAcentral describes it as "tRNA-Val". The record is from RNAcentral. Lineage: Bacteria; Pseudomonadati; Pseudomonadota; Betaproteobacteria; Burkholderiales; Alcaligenaceae.